CGACACCAGAAAAAAAGUCUUAAAUGGCAUUAUUAUGUGAAUUAGAAUCAUAUUUUGAGACGAUUCGACCAUAUACAACAAUUUAGCAAAGCGCAGAUGACGAGAAAUUAGUCUUUUAAUCUGCCGGUUAGCCACGCCUACAAUUAUAGGGCUUUAGCGUCCCCAACAGGUGGAUGACGUCAGCGGUAGACUAGGCUCAUCGGUUUUACUAUUCAGCCCAUUGAGGGGGAAUUUUUCAGAACGAGGAAAAUGAGACGAAGAGAGCUGCAAAAUGUCAUUGUUUCAGUCUCUCUACUCCCAAUAUUUUUACAGGAUAUUCUUUUUAUCCAAGUAUUUUCCCCAAUAGCUAUAUAAAUGGCUUGAGAAGGACCAGUCAGCCCGUCGAGGGGGAACUAUUCACAAUGAGGAAAACGCGACGAAGAGAGCGGCAAAAUGUCAUUGUUUCUGUCUCUUUACUUCAAUAUUUUUACAGGAUAUUCUUUUUAUCCAAGUAUUUUUCCCCAAUAGCUAUAUAAAUGGCUUGAGAAGGACCAGUCAGCCCGUCGAGGGGGAACUAUUCACAAUGAGGAAAACGCAACGAAGAGAGCGGCAAAAUGUCAUUGUUUCUGUCUCUUUACUUCAAUAUUUUUACAGGAUAUUCUUUUUACCCAAGUACUUUCCCCAAUUGCUAAAUAAAUGGCAUGGUCAUGACAAAUAACUUGUGCUAAAUGGAAUAUAAAAUAAUAAAAAUCCAUUUAUUCAAGACGACAUGGCAAAAUUACUCCAUAAUGGUCAAAACAGUCGACUUUACCUUUACUGUCACACCUGCCGAACGAUAUUUUAUGACACCUAAAUCGGACAUAUGUCAUUUCCCUUCCCCGGCUUCGGAGAAUGUAAACAGACCAGAAGGAGUGACAGCUAGCCGACAUGCUAACCCGAACCGAGGGAUGUUUCAAAGUCUUCGAAGUGGAAAAUCACACAUAACUAGCCUGGAUUAUUUGACAUGACGACCCGGUUGUCGAGUUUCUUUGCGGAUCGGCAAACCGCCCGGCGGAGAGCAAUUUACAGUUCGUUCCCUGGAGGAGGGUGGCUGGAAUUGUUGUGUAGCUAACGCGCUAACAGCUAACUGCUAAUGAGCGUGAGGAUAGCUUUUUACAUGCCUAUCAAUGAUCAAACGAAUGACAAAAAGUUGCUGUGUUGCGGGUUGUCACACAAGGAAGAGUUCGGAGCCGCAUUUGAAGUUCUUUAUUUUUCCUCGUAAGAGGAAGAGAAACAAAUGGCUUUGUUUCUGGUUUGCAGCCGACAUUUUAUUACUGGCGUCUUGGUGAGCGUCAGCUUGACUGUACGACAAUGUGAGUUGUCGCCUUCACAUACACCGCAUUUGUCCUCUUCCUUGUACGAGCCCACCUCCUUGUCGCACCCAACGUGCUGGCGAGAGCAUAAUUAGAGGUCGUUAGGUCAUGAGAAUACAGUCUAGACAGCGGUACGGUGACGCCGUGUGAAAAAACAUCAUCAAUGAUGGCGCACGGCUCAAGUCAAAAUAGCCCAGCAGGUGUCAACCUUGAAAGUGCAGACCAAAAUAAUAAACCCGGCGGUGGUGGUGAUUGGAAGACAUGGAAGAGCUGGUGUUUUUUUGUAAAUGAAGAAAAAACUCUGAUAAUGCUCU
Molecule: long non-coding RNA, 1645 nt
Organism: Corythoichthys intestinalis (scribbled pipefish)
Lineage: Eukaryota; Metazoa; Chordata; Actinopteri; Syngnathiformes; Syngnathidae
Exons: 3
Source: RefSeq, a predicted model, not a curated record